Molecule: long non-coding RNA, 1289 nt
Organism: Monodelphis domestica (gray short-tailed opossum)
Lineage: Eukaryota; Metazoa; Chordata; Mammalia; Didelphimorphia; Didelphidae
Source: Ensembl
CCCUCCCACACUGAAGAUGAGCUUGUAGAUCUUGGAGACGUUGACAUUGGACCUGCCCCCCACAGGCUUGUGAAUGGAUGGGAGCUCUAGGUAUAUAGGACGCAGACUUGAAUCUACAGCUGAGACCUCAUCAGAUCAGAAAAAGCCUUGUCCCCAUUUCCUGCCCUCCCUCCAGAGACCCUGCUUUUGUGGCUGCAUCCUGAGAAGCAAGGCCAUGCUCCAUGAACGGACCCCCAUAUGCCCUCCAACCUAUCCCUGCAGUUUCUCCAAAGCUUCCCCCCAGACUUAAAGGGUAUAAGGAAAGACUGCCAGGACUUCUUAUGCCAUGGGAAUAGCCUUUGAAGCUGGUACAGCUGGGAGGUGAAAGGAGAUGACAUCCUACCAGUGAGGUGAAAAAUGUUCUCUUCAGUCCCUUCUGCCUCAGAAAGGUAAAGCAUUUACUGUCAAAGAAAAAAAAAAGAUUUAAACCUUACUCUGCAUUUUUUGGCUCAUCUGCCAGAAACAAUUUUAUUUUACAUUAAUCUAAUAUCCAAGCAUUUCUAGCCUGGUGAGCAAGAUGCCCAAACUGGUCCCCUAUUCCAUGUCUUCCAAUACAACUCCCUAAAAACAGUGGCUGACCUGCACUAAGAAAGGAAUUGUCCUCAUCUGGAAGUUCCCUCCGAGUAAAAUCACAAGUCCAGUCCCUGCCCCAAUUUUAAAAGGUAAGCCCAUCUGUUAACAUCAAUAUUCUCCCAGUAUAAAGAUGAUUUGGGGUUACCUUUAUAGGAAUCUUGAACCCAGGGGAAAAUCCAAUAUGUUAUUAUAGAGUUUGGGGGAUUAAAAUUCCAAGAGAGUUGAAUAACAAUCUCAUUCCCUCCUGGACAGCUCCCUUCAUUCCUGGAGGAAAGAAUGGAACUUCCUCCUUUAAUGUUCUCUCUGUUCUCUGUGUAGAAAAUGGGAGGUCAUAGAGCCAGUUUCUUCAAGCAGAUGAGCAAAGAAGAAGUUUUCCUUAGAUGGGUCAAUAAUUUAAUUGAUUCAGGGGUGGGGAAGGUAAGGAGGUAAGCAAGACAAGAAUCUGUUAUUGUUCAGUUGUGUCUGACUCUUCCUGGACCCAUUUGGGGUUUUCUUGGCAGAGAUACUGGAAUGGUUCACCAUUUCCUUCUCCAGCUCAUUUUACAGAUGAAGAAACUGAGGUGAACAGGGUUAAGUGACUUGCCCAAGGCCACACAGCUUGGAAGUGUUCAAGGUUGAAUUUGAACUCAUUUUCCUAACUCCAGAUCUAGCACUCUAUCCGCUGCACCACCUAGCUG